This 65-nucleotide transfer RNA is filed under the name Hexarthrius vitalisi. Its description in RNAcentral is "tRNA-Ala". The record is from RNAcentral. Lineage: Eukaryota; Metazoa; Arthropoda; Insecta; Coleoptera; Lucanidae. RNAcentral also lists the same sequence under 1 other name.
AGGAUAAUAGUUAAAAAUAACAUUUAAUUUGCACUUAAAAAAUAUUGAUUAUUCAAUUUAUCUUA